CGGCCGCAACGCCGGCGCCUUCGCCCAACCCUUUGUGAAUUACGCCCGAUUUCCCCGGGGGGACCGCCUGCCCUGCGCGCGCGGCCCCCCGGCGGACCCCUCCAACUCGUGUUGUACCUGCAGUCCGAGUCUUAUGAGAAAUCAAACAAAAACUUUCAACAACGGAUCUCUUGGUUCUGGCAUCGAUGAAGAACGCAGCGAAAUGCGAUAAGUAAUGUGAAUUGCAGAAUUCAGUGAAUCAUCGAAUCUUUGAACGCACAUUGCGCCCCCUGGUAUUCCGGGGGGCAUGCCUGUUCGAGCGUCAUUUCAACCAAACCAGCCCCGCUGGGUGUUGGGCGUCGCGGUCCGCCGCGCGCCUCAAAGUCUUCGGCGGAAGCCGCCCGUUCCUCUGCGUGAUGCAUCGUCGUCGCUUGGGACACGGGGGUGAGCGCCCGGAAAUCGUCGGUGGAGACGCCGACUUCAAGGUUGACCUCGGAUCAGGUAGGGAUACCCGCUGAACUUAAGCAUAUCAAUAAGCGGAGGAAAAGAAACCAACAGGGAUUGCCCUAGUAACGGCGAGUGAAGCGGCAACAGCUCAAAUUUGAAAUCUGGCGCAAGCCCGAGUUGUAAUUUGUAGAGGAUGCUUCUGGGUAGCGGCCGGUCUAAGUUCCUUGGAACAGGACGUCACAGAGGGUGAGAAUCCCGUAUGUGAUCGGCGCGCGCCCUCUACGUAGCUCCUUCGACGAGUCGAGUUGUUUGGGAAUGCAGCUCUAAAUGGGAGGUAAAUUUCUUCUAAAGCUAAAUACU
RNAcentral lists this ribosomal RNA (786 nucleotides) under Dothideomycetes sp. TC105. Its description in RNAcentral is "eukaryotic LSU rRNA". The stretch from base 467 to 786 matches the Rfam family "Eukaryotic large subunit ribosomal RNA", at positions 1 to 324 of the family's 3401-position model. The record is from RNAcentral. Lineage: Eukaryota; Fungi; Ascomycota; Dothideomycetes.